This 465-nucleotide ribosomal RNA is filed under the name uncultured bacterium. Its description in RNAcentral is "bacterial SSU rRNA". It matches the Rfam family "Bacterial small subunit ribosomal RNA", at positions 28 to 490 of the family's 1533-position model. The record is from RNAcentral.
GAUGAACGCUGGCGGCGUGCUUAACACAUGCAAGUCGAACGAAGCACUUUAUUUGAUUUCCUUCGGGACUGAUUAUUUUGUGACUGAGUGGCGGACGGGUGAGUAACGCGUGGGUAACCUGCCUUGUACAGGGGGAUAACAGUUGGAAACGGCUGCUAAUACCGCAUAAGCGCACGGCAUCGCAUGAUGCAGUGUGAAAAACUCCGGUGGUAUAAGAUGGACCCGCGUUGGAUUAGCUAGUUGGUGAGGUAACGGCCCACCAAGGCGACGAUCCAUAGCCGACCUGAGAGGGUGACCGGCCACAUUGGGACUGAGACACGGCCCAAACUCCUACGGGAGGCAGCAGUGGGGAAUAUUGCACAAUGGGCGAAAGCCUGAUGCAGCGACGCCGCGUGAGCGAAGAAGUAUUCGGUAUGUAAAGCUCUAUCAGCAGGAAGAAAAAAUAGACGGUACCUGACUAAGAAG